AAUGAACGCUAGCGGUAGGCCUAACACAUGCAAGUUGAACGCAUACUUUUACAGUAUAAGUAGCACACGGGUGAGUAACGCGUGAGAAAUCUACCUUACAAUCUGGCAUAAAAUCCCGGAUUCUUUCUAAACUAGAUGUUCCGACAAAUAGUAUAGAAUAAAAGAUUAAAUGUCGUUGUAAGAUGUGCCCGCGUAGGAUUAGGUAGUUGGUGAGGUAACAGCUACACCAAGCCGAAGAUCCUUAGCUGGUCUGAGAGGAUGAUCAGCCACACUGGGACUGAGACACGGCCCAGACGCUUUCGAGCGGCAGCAGUGAGGAAUUUUGGACAAUGGACGAAAGCUGGAUCCAGCCAUAUCGCAUGAGGAAAGAAGGCUCAAUUGGUUGUAAAUCUCUGAUUUGAUUGAAGAUUAUGACAUAAGAUCAAAGAAGAGUCCCGGCUAACUUCGUG
RNAcentral lists this ribosomal RNA (449 nucleotides) under uncultured bacterium. RNAcentral's name for it is "partial 16S ribosomal RNA". It matches the Rfam family "Bacterial small subunit ribosomal RNA", at positions 29 to 507 of the family's 1533-position model. The record is from RNAcentral.